CAGUCGCCACGGUAAUACGUAGGGUGCAAGCGUUAAUCGGAAUUACUGGGCGUAAAGCGUGCGUAGGCGGUUUGUUAAGUCUGCUGUGAAAUCCCCGGGCUCAACCUGGGAAUGGCAGUGGAUACUGGCAAGCUAGAGUGUGUCAGAGGAUGGUGGAAUUCCCGGUGUAGCGGUGAAAUGCGUAGAGAUCGGGAGGAACAUCAGUGGCGAAGGCGGCCAUCUGGGACAACACUGACGCUGAGGCACGAAAGCGUGGGGAGCAAACAGGAUUAGAUACCCCGGUAGUCCCUGUCUCUUAUAC
This 301-nucleotide ribosomal RNA is filed under the name uncultured bacterium. RNAcentral describes it as "partial 16S ribosomal RNA". It matches the Rfam family "Bacterial small subunit ribosomal RNA", at positions 509 to 807 of the family's 1533-position model. The record is from RNAcentral.